UGGGCUGAUAGAAGAGUUGACAAGAUUGGUUUUGAUAAUCAAACAAAAUGCAGUGUCUGAAUGAAAAUCUACCCAUAAUAAUUGGCUUCACAAAUAAAACAAUAGCAGACCAUCUCUAUUAAAAGUCAACCAGCUGAGGACAAAAACAUACGCCCAUCACCCUUUCGCACCACAUUAGCGACGCCCCCUGGUAUUGGUGUGAAAUUAUUUGAGACAGAAGACAUGACACUUCACGCAUACCGACAGGUGGCAGUAACUGUCUUGUUACACGCUAAAAACGAAGAAGAAGAACAACAACAAACUGUUGAUAACGGACACUCUUAAAAGAACACCUCACUUUUUUUCGAGCCACCGGUGUUAAUUAUUUGAGAGAAUGCUUACUCUUGUGUGUUUGUUGUCAUUCUGGCCAGUCGUUAACGCAGGUUCUCACUCACUGAUGGCUUUGGCAACAUAUAUAGUUGGAAAAACACAAUUUCCUGAGUUCAGUGUUGUGGUGAUGUUGGAUGAUGUGCAAAUAGGACAUUAUGACUCAACCACAUGGAAACCUGUCUAUCGAUCUCACAGUGAUUCAAAAUAUUAUGAAGAGGAGCAAAGUGAUGCUGGUGUUGUAUUGCGUGAUAUGUAUUAUGACAUGAAAGAUCGAGCCUUUUAUCUUAAGGAGCACCAAAAUCACACAGAUGGUGUACAUGUUCAUCAGAGACUUGUUGGAUGUGAACUGUUGGCCAGCGAUAAACCAGGUCAGCUUCAUUACUGGGAUGCUUUUGGUGGACAAAAUAUGGAGGAGUUUAUAUUUGAUGUAGGAAAACACGCUAUCCAGAUAAAGAUGCCGUGGGUGAUAACAUGGGACCAAUUAAAACGGGUUCAUGAAAACUUUAUGUAUGAAAAUGUUUAUCAUCCUAUUUGCAUUAAAACUUUGAGAAGGUACCUGAAUAUGGAGAAGAACAACGUGCUGAGAAAAGUGAAACCCAGAGUCAGACUCAUGAGGAAGACGCUCUCAGACUCUCAAGGGCUUCAGAUCAGCUGUCUGGCCACUGGUUUUUACCCCCGUCACAUUAACCUGACCCUGUUCAGAGACGGUCAGCCUGUGGAUGAUGAUCAGAUCACAGGAGGACAGAUUCUGCCCAACGGAGACGGAACGUACCAGAUGAGGAAGAGUUUGGUGAUCAGUGAAGAAGAGCUACGCCAGGAACAUAAAUACAACUGCACAAUGAAGCACCUCAGUCGGGACAACAAACUGCACAUUAUCUUUGAUGUGGCUGAAUCUGUUCCAGGAUCAUCUAUGCAGUCUGUAGUUUUCAUUGUGCUGGUGUUAGUGUUUGUGGUAGUUCUCAUCAUAACUGCACUCAUUAUAUGGAGUAAGGUUCAGUUUCAUUACAUCCGGACCCCAAUGCGGGAUUCAACUUGAAAGAAAUGAGCCUGUAUGAACUGAAAUUGAUGAGGUAAUAUGCACACAGUAUUUAGUCUCACUUGUUUCCUGUGGAUGUCGGAGUCUCUGAUGAGACACUGGAAAGUUGCACCAAGGAGACCGCUCAUCAAGCUGAAAUAAGAAAUAAGGCUGAUUGAACCACAAUUAUGAAAACAAACUGAUACGCUUGGAAAUUGCUGGCACUAUACUCUGAUUAGUAGAGCUACAUAAAUAAAUUUGUAAUUGAGCCACUGCAUUGUAUUUGUAUCAGAAACAUCUUCUGUUAUGUGGGCAUUGAAAGACAUUCAUUUGACAUGGGGGUUGGUGCACUAUGAACACCUGGCACUUCUACUGUAAUGUGACACCCCUUAUUGCUCAAUAAAAAAAACUCAAGUUG
Molecule: RNA transcript, 1802 nt
Organism: Carassius auratus (goldfish)
Lineage: Eukaryota; Metazoa; Chordata; Actinopteri; Cypriniformes; Cyprinidae
Gene name: major histocompatibility complex class I-related gene protein
Exons: 8
Source: RefSeq, a predicted model, not a curated record